AGCUCCAAUAGCGUAUAUUAAAGUUGUUGCAGUUAAAAAGCUCGUAGUUGGAUUUCUGGGGGGCGCAGAUUGUCCGCAGACGCGUGUGCAGAUGCGCCCUUUCAUCCUUCUGUUAACGUCUCUUGACAUUCAUUUGUUGGUGGCGGGCUCAGAUAUUUUACCUUGAGAAAAUUAGAGUGUUUCAGGCAGGCUCGCGUCGGAAUACAUUAGCAUGGAAUAAUAGAAUAGGACUCAGUCCUCCUUUGUUGGUUUGAGGGGUCAGAGUAAUGGUUAAUAGGGAUAGUUGGGGGCAUUAGUAUUUGACUGUCAGAGGUGAAAUUCUCGGAUUUGUUAAAGACUAACUUAUGCGAAAGCAUUUGCCAAGGAUGUUUUCAUUA
RNAcentral lists this ribosomal RNA (377 nucleotides) under Spirotrichea sp. RNAcentral's name for it is "SSU rRNA". It matches the Rfam family "Eukaryotic small subunit ribosomal RNA", at positions 587 to 975 of the family's 1831-position model. The record is from RNAcentral. Lineage: Eukaryota; Ciliophora; Spirotrichea. RNAcentral also lists the same sequence under 2 other names.